Molecule: ribosomal RNA, 253 nt
Filed under: uncultured bacterium
Lineage: Bacteria
Description: partial 16S ribosomal RNA
Rfam family: Bacterial small subunit ribosomal RNA
Source: RNAcentral
UACGUAGGGUGCAAGCGUUGUCCGGAAUUAUUGGGCGUAAAGAGCUCGUAGGCGGUUUGUCGCGUCUGCUGUGAAAACCCGAGGCUCAACCUCGGGCCUGCAGUGGGUACGGGCAGACUAGAGUGCGGUAGGGGGAGAUUGGAAUUCCUGGUGUAGCGGUGGAAUGCGCAGAUAUCAGGAGAACACCGAUGGCGAAGGCAGAUCUCUGGGCCGUAACUGACGCUGAGGAGCGAAAGCAUGGGGAGCGAACAGG